GAUGAACGCUGGCGGCGUGCCUAAUACAUGCAAGUCGAGCGAACAGACGAGGAGCUUGUUCUUCUGACGUUAGCGGCGGACGGGCGAGUAACAAGUGGAUAACCUACCUAUAAGACUGGGAUAACUUCGGGAAACCGGAUCUAAUACCGGAUAAUAUAUGGUACCGCAUGGUUCAAUAGUGAAAGACGGUUUUGCUGUCACUUAUAGAUGGAUCCGGGCCGCUUUAGCUGGUUGGUAAGGUAACGGCUUAGCAAGGCGACGAUGCGUAGCCGACCUGGGAGGGUGAUCAGCCACACUGGAAGUGGGACACGGUCCAUACUCCUACGGGAGGAAGCAGUGGGGAAUCUUCCGGAAUGGGCGAAAGACUGAAGGAGCAACACCGCGUGAGUGAUGAAGGUCUUCGGGUCGUAAAGCCCUGUUAUUAGGAAAGAACAAAUGUACAAUUAACUACGCACGUCUUGACGGUACCUAAACAGAAAGCCACGGCUAACUACGUG
Molecule: ribosomal RNA, 497 nt
Filed under: uncultured bacterium
Lineage: Bacteria
Description: partial 16S ribosomal RNA
Rfam family: Bacterial small subunit ribosomal RNA
Source: RNAcentral